Molecule: transfer RNA, 72 nt
Filed under: Camelus bactrianus (Bactrian camel)
Lineage: Eukaryota; Metazoa; Chordata; Mammalia; Artiodactyla; Camelidae
Also listed under: 2 other names
Rfam family: tRNA
About the family: Transfer RNA (tRNA) molecules are approximately 80 nucleotides in length. Their secondary structure includes four short double-helical elements and three loops (D, anti-codon, and T loops). Further hydrogen bonds mediate the characteristic L-shaped molecular structure. tRNAs have two regions of fundamental functional importance: the anti-codon, which is responsible for specific mRNA codon recognition, and the 3' end, to which the tRNAs corresponding amino acid is attached (by aminoacyl-tRNA synthetases). tRNAs cope with the degeneracy of the genetic code in two manners: having more than one tRNA (with a specific anti-codon) for a particular amino acid; and 'wobble' base-pairing, i.e. permitting non-standard base-pairing at the 3rd anti-codon position.
Source: Rfam by way of RNAcentral
GGGGUAAUAGCUCAGUGGUAGAGCACAUGCUUACCAUGCAUGAGGUCUUGGGUUCAAUCUCCAGUACCUCCA